RNAcentral lists this transfer RNA (71 nucleotides) under Camelus ferus (Wild Bactrian camel). It matches the Rfam family "tRNA". From Rfam's summary of the family: Transfer RNA (tRNA) molecules are approximately 80 nucleotides in length. Their secondary structure includes four short double-helical elements and three loops (D, anti-codon, and T loops). Lineage: Eukaryota; Metazoa; Chordata; Mammalia; Artiodactyla; Camelidae. The record is from Rfam by way of RNAcentral.
GUGAAUAUAGCUCAGUGGCAGAGUGCCUGCUUAGCAUGCAUGAGGUCCUGGGUUCAAUCCCCAGUACCACA